This is a long non-coding RNA of Panicum virgatum (switchgrass), 652 nucleotides long. RefSeq lists it as uncharacterized. The record is from RefSeq and is a predicted model, not a curated record. The transcript is spliced from 2 exons. NCBI's taxonomy places the organism in Eukaryota, Viridiplantae, Streptophyta, Magnoliopsida, Poales, Poaceae.
CUCUCUCUCUCUCUCUCUCUCUCUCUCUCUCUCUCUCUCUCUCUCUCUCUCUCUCUCUCUCUCUCUCUCUCUCAAUUAAUCCCCCCUUCCCCUCCCGCCCCUCCUCCUCGAGCAACACCGUCCAAGCCUCGCUCCUCGAUUUGCUUCGGUCUUCUCUUCUUCUUCUGUUGUUGCUCGCCUGCUCCCCCAAGGCUCCACCUUCUCUUCCUACUACUCCCCCUUCGAUCUUUGCUGCUGCUGGCCUGCUGCUACUCCUCCUCCUUCGCUCUUCUUCUUCUUCUUCGAUCUGCUGGUGAUCCUCCUCCUCCGAUCCAUUUCCUCUCACCCGCCCCUUCCGUCUCCCCACCCUUUCUUACCUAAUCGGUCAAUUCUCAAAAAUCGUGAAGGAAGACUACGAGAUUGAGAGGGUACGGCUUCACCAAGCUCAACAAUCACAGUAGACGGCAAAAAGCACAUCAUGCCGGACUUGGAAGAGGGGAUUAAUUGUCUCUCAGAUCAUGCCAAACCACCCUAUUUUCCAUGAUUUUUUUCAGGGGAUUAAUUGUCUCUCAGAUCAGUUUAAUCUUACCAGUCCUUCCAGCAAAAACAUAAGUUGUACGUAUAGUAGGAAAAGGUGGGAGAAAUAUUGGAUCUUGGCUUCGUUCUUUCGCAA